Oleispira antarctica is the source of this 310-nucleotide non-coding RNA. The record is from Rfam. NCBI's taxonomy places the organism in Bacteria, Pseudomonadati, Pseudomonadota, Gammaproteobacteria, Oceanospirillales, Oceanospirillaceae.
CAAGUCCCUGUCGGGUAAGUUUAACCAACCACCCGUAUCGAGUGUUGCGCCUGUGGCGGAGUUUGUGGAUCGAAAGUACUUUCCCGUAUUUUCUUUUCAAAUUAAAUACAGCAAGCGAACAAAACAGGUGAAGCGUACACAGAGAAAUAUAUAGGCCAUAGGGACUGACGUGGUCCUGAAGUGCUGGUAUCGCUCCGAGAAUUGUGAAUUCUGAUUGACGAGGUUUCUUCUUAUAACGCUAGGGCCAUCGAAGUCCAUGCAAAGCAAUCGUAAUGGUUAGAUUGUGGCGAGUCAGCGGCGUCUAUUAAUU